Molecule: ribosomal RNA, 479 nt
Filed under: uncultured bacterium
Lineage: Bacteria
Description: partial 16S ribosomal RNA
Rfam family: Bacterial small subunit ribosomal RNA
Source: RNAcentral
GAUGAACGCUGGCGGCGUGCUUAACACAUGCAAGUCGAACGAAGCACUUAAGAUUGAUUCUUCGGAUGACGUCUUUUGUGACUUAGUGGCGGACGGGUGAGUAACGCGUGGGUAACCUGCCUCACACAGGGGGAUAACAGUUAGAAAUGACUGCUAAUACCGCAUAACCCGAUAGGAUCGCAUGAUCCAGACGGAAAAGAUUUAUCGGUGUGAGAUGGACCCGCGUCUGAUUAGCUAGUUGGUGAGGUAACGGCCCACCAAGGCGACGAUCAGUAGCCGGCCUGAGAGGGUGAACGGCCACAUUGGGACUGAGACACGGCCCAAACUCCUACGGGAGGCAGCAGUGGGGAAUAUUGCACAAUGGGGGAAACCCUGAUGCAGCGACGCCGCGUGAGUGAAGAAGUAUUUCGGGAUGUAAAGCUCUAUCAGCAGGGAAGAAAAUGACGGUACCUGACUAAGAAGCCCCGGCUAACUACGUG